Molecule: long non-coding RNA, 341 nt
Organism: Rhineura floridana
Lineage: Eukaryota; Metazoa; Chordata; Lepidosauria; Squamata; Rhineuridae
Exons: 3
Source: RefSeq, a predicted model, not a curated record
GGAAGAUGGUUGAGCUAAUUAACCCUGACUGCACUCCUCGAAGGACUGAGACCACUUGUAGAUUUUUUCACUCCUUAAAGGUCUUAUCUGAGAUCAAGGAGGAUUGGAAAUUCAAGAAAGACAAAAGAAUCGAGCAUCUACCUCAGUUAUGCCAUAAGCUGGUGAACAUUGGUUAGAAAUAAAAAGACAAAAUGCUUAUAACGUCCUGAUUUGCAUUCCCCUCUGCCUGCUGAAAGAAUGUGAAAAAAGAAUAAUAGAGCAACUGUAUUUACAUAAAGUAUGCAGCAAGAGCAUGAUAUAACUUCCAGUGGAAAGAUAACUAUUGAUUCCAGUGGGUUUGG